CCUACGGGAGGCUGCAGUGGGGAAUCUUAGACAAUGGGGGCAACCCUGAUCUAGCCAUGCCGCGUGAGUGACGAAGGCCCUAGGGUCGUAAAGCUCUUUCGCCAGGGAAGAUAAUGACGGUACCUGGUAAAGAAGUCCCGGCUAACUCCGUGCCAGCAGCCGCGGUAAUACGGAGGGGACUAGCGUUGUUCGGAAUUACUGGGCGUAAAGCGCACGUAGGCGGAUUGAAAAGUAUGGGGUGAAAUCCCAGGGCUCAACCCUGGAACUGCCUCAUAAACUAUCAGUCUAGAGUUCGAGAGAGGUGAGUGGAAUUCCGAGUGUAGAGGUGAAAUUCGUAGAUAUUCGGAGGAACACCAGUGGCGAAGGCGGCUCACUGGCUCGAUACUGACGCUGAGGUGCGAAAGCGUGGGGAGCAAACAGGAUUAGAUACCCCUGUAGUC
Molecule: ribosomal RNA, 440 nt
Filed under: uncultured bacterium
Lineage: Bacteria
Description: bacterial SSU rRNA
Rfam family: Bacterial small subunit ribosomal RNA
Source: RNAcentral